UCGAUUUGGAGUUCGUUGCCCUGAGUGAUGGGCUCCGAAGCUAACGCGAUAAAUCGACCGCCUGGGGAGUACGGCCGCAAGGUUAAAACUCAAAUGAAUUGACGGGGGCCCGCACAAGCGGUGGAGCAUGUGGUUUAAUUCGAUGCAACGCGAAGAACCUUACCUGGUCUUGACAUCCACAGAAUCUUGCAGAGAUGCGAGAGUGCCUUCGGGAACUGUGAGACAGGUGCUGCAUGGCUGUCGUCAGCUCGUGUUGUGAAAUGUUGGGUUAAGUCCGGCAACGAGCGCAACCCUUAUCCUUUGUUGCCAUUGGUUCGGCCGGGAACUCAAAGGAGACUGCCGUUGAUAAAGCGGAGGAAGGUGGGGACGACGUCAAGUCAUCAUGGCCCUUACGACCAGGGCUACACACGUGCUACAAUGGCGUAUACAAAGGGAGGCGAUCUCGCGAGAGCAAGCGGACCUCAUAAAGUACGUCUAAGUCCGGAUUGGAGUCUGCAACUCGACUCCAUGAAGUCGGAAUCGCUAGUAAUCGUGAAUCAGAAUGUCACGGUGAAUACGUUCCCGGGCCU
This 569-nucleotide ribosomal RNA is filed under the name uncultured Gammaproteobacteria bacterium. Its description in RNAcentral is "bacterial SSU rRNA". It matches the Rfam family "Bacterial small subunit ribosomal RNA", at positions 812 to 1381 of the family's 1533-position model. Lineage: Bacteria; Pseudomonadati; Pseudomonadota; Gammaproteobacteria. The record is from RNAcentral.